Molecule: small nucleolar RNA, 75 nt
Organism: Chelonus insularis
Lineage: Eukaryota; Metazoa; Arthropoda; Insecta; Hymenoptera; Braconidae
Product: small nucleolar RNA U43
Exons: 1
Source: RefSeq, a predicted model, not a curated record
AUGAUGAUUUAGAUUCAAAGUUUAUGGUUUAAACUGAAUAACCAUGAAGAAAAUUUUCUAGGGCGGUCUGAAAUA